UUAAACAAGUGAGCGGGAGGUUUUUCUUGAGCGGCAUUUUCAAGUUUUGAAACAUUUUGAAAUGGGGAAGAAACCGAGAAAGAAAGAGAAAGGGAGUAGGGCUACAUCUGCAAAACAAACUCCCCAGCUUCUCAAACCCUACUCCAAAUUCCACCAUUCGUUGCUUUCAUGCCUCCUCAAAACCCACCUACAAUCGAGCGAAAAAGAGGCCGAGAGGCAUCUCUAUUCUCAUAAUCGACAGAAGGAUGAAGGGAAGCAACGAACUGGGUUCUAAUAAGGCUUUUAAAGGGUUUUGAGUGAGAUAAAGUGCCGAAAAAUGAAGCAAGACGAGCCUUAAACUGUUUAGUGGUGUAACAAUGGUAUGUUGAGCAAGACGAGCCUCAUAGAUGCCAUGGAAACAAAAGGAGAAAAGCAGAGGAAAAGAGAUAAUUCGCAGAGAGUUGCAAAGAAAAGUAGGGAAGGAUACGAUCACCGGUGAAGAUACAAAUUCACCGCAGUUUGUUUCUGGAGAAAGAUGAACAGAGGAUCGCAGUUGCUUUGAUACAAUAACAAUGGUGAAGCAUCAGACUCUCUAAGACUGUGAUGAUCAUUGCAGGUUUUUCAAUUGGUUUAUGGGGCCGCAUUGACAUUAACAAACAUUUCAUUUCAAAUAAGAUAAAAAAGAAACCAUGGGAAGUUUUGUUGGCAGAGAAAUAAUGGUUGCCAAAUACGGACCUGGUGCUGAAAGAAUGUGAGUUCUAUGGCCAAGGCUUGAUCUGAAUCAUGAAGACUUUUCUUUGAUAUGUUUUUUUUGGUCAUAGUAGCAAUU
Helianthus annuus (common sunflower) is the source of this 808-nucleotide long non-coding RNA. RefSeq lists it as uncharacterized. The record is from RefSeq and is a predicted model, not a curated record. NCBI's taxonomy places the organism in Eukaryota, Viridiplantae, Streptophyta, Magnoliopsida, Asterales, Asteraceae. The transcript has 5 exons.